RNAcentral lists this ribosomal RNA (379 nucleotides) under uncultured bacterium. RNAcentral describes it as "bacterial SSU rRNA". It matches the Rfam family "Bacterial small subunit ribosomal RNA", at positions 30 to 407 of the family's 1533-position model. The record is from RNAcentral.
AUUGAACGCUGGCGGCAUGCUUUACACAUGCAAGUCGAACGGCAGCACGGGAGCUUGCUCCUGGUGGCGAGUGGCGAACGGGUGAGUAAUGCAUCGGAACGUACCCAGUAGUGGGGGAUAGCCCGGCGAAAGCCGGAUUAAUACCGCAUAUUUCCUGAGGGAGAAAGCGGGGGACCUUCGGGCCUCGCGCUACUGGAGCGGCUGAUGUCGGAUUAGCUAGUUGGUGAGGUAAAGGCUCACCAAGGCGACGAUCCGUAGCUGGUCUGAGAGGAUGAUCAGCCACACUGGGACUGAGACACGGCCCAGACUCCUACGGGAGGCAGCAGUGGGGAAUUUUGGACAAUGGGGGCAACCCUGAUCCAGCCAUGCCGCGUGAGUG